RNAcentral lists this ribosomal RNA (399 nucleotides) under uncultured bacterium. RNAcentral's name for it is "partial 16S ribosomal RNA". It matches the Rfam family "Bacterial small subunit ribosomal RNA", at positions 338 to 734 of the family's 1533-position model. The record is from RNAcentral.
CCUACGGGUGGCAGCAGUGAGGAAUAUUGGUCAAUGGACGGAAUCCUGAACCAGCCAUGCCGCGUGCAGGACGACGGCUCUACGAGUUGUAAACUGCUUUUGUACGGGGGUAAAAUGCGAUACGAGUACCGUUUUGUAAGUACGGUACGAAUAAGGAUCGGCUAACUCCGUGCCAGCAGCCGCGGUAAUACGGAGGAUCCGAGCGUUAUCCGGAUUUAUUGGGUUUAAAGGGUGCGUAGGUGGUUUGAUAAGUUAGCUGUGAAAUACCGAGGCUCAACAGCGGAAUUGCAGUUGAUACUGUCAGACUAGAGUACAGUUGCGGUAGGCGGAAUGCGUGGUGUAGCGGUGAAAUGCUUAGAUAUCACACAGAACACCGAUUGCGAAGGCAGCUUACUAGAC